RNAcentral lists this ribosomal RNA (802 nucleotides) under uncultured bacterium. RNAcentral describes it as "bacterial SSU rRNA". It matches the Rfam family "Bacterial small subunit ribosomal RNA", at positions 61 to 875 of the family's 1533-position model. The record is from RNAcentral.
GUUGAGCGGAGAUAUAUGGAGCUUGCUUUAUAUAACUUAGCAGCGAACGGGUGAGUAACACGUAGAUAAUCUAUCCUAUACUGGGGGAUAGCCCGAUGAAAGUUGGAUUAAUACCGCAUAUAGCUAUAUAGUUGCAUGAUUAUGUAGUGAAAGAUUUAUUGGUAUAGGAGGAGUCUGCGGCACAUUAGCUAGUAGGUGAGGUAAAGGCUUACCUAGGCGACGAUGUGUAGCCGGUCUGAGAGGAUGAACGGCCACAAUGGAACUGAGACACGGUCCAUACUCCUACGGGAGGCAGCAGUGGGGAAUAUUGCACAAUGGGGGAAACCCUGAUGCAGCAACGCCGCGUGAGUGAAGAAGGUUUUCGGAUUGUAAAGCUCUGUUAGCAGGGAAGAGGAAGGACGGUACCUGCAGAGGAAGCCACGGCUAACUACGUGCCAGCAGCCGCGGUAAUACGUAGGUGGCAAGCGUUGUUCGGAAUAACUGGGCGUAAAGGAUGCGUAGGCGGUUAAACAAGUUAUAUGUUAAAUAUAUAGGCUUAACCUGUAGAAAGCAUAUAAAACUGUUUAACUAGAGUGCAGGAGAGGUAAGUGGAAUUCCUAGUGUAGCGGUGAAAUGCGUAGAGAUUAGGAAGAACACCAGUGGCGAAGGCGACUUACUGGACUGUAACUGACGCUGAGGCAUGAGAGCAUGGGGAGCAAACAGGAUUAGAUACCCUGGUAGUCCAUGCUGUAAACGAUGGGUACUAGGUGUGGGUUGUGAAUAACAAUUCGUGCCGUCGCAAACGCAAUAAGUACCCCGCCUG